This 465-nucleotide ribosomal RNA is filed under the name uncultured bacterium. RNAcentral's name for it is "partial 16S ribosomal RNA". It matches the Rfam family "Bacterial small subunit ribosomal RNA", at positions 28 to 507 of the family's 1533-position model. The record is from RNAcentral.
GACGAACGCUGGCGGCGUGCUUAACACAUGCAAGUCGAACGGAAAGGCCCCUUUGGGGGUACUCGAGUGGCGAACGGGUGAGUAACACGUGAGUAACCUGCCCUUGACUUCGGGAUAACUUCAGGAAACUGGGGCUAAUACCGGAUAGGAAUCCUUGCUGCAUGGUGGGGGUUGGAAAGCUUCGGCGGUUUUGGAUGGACUCGCGGCUUAUCAGCUUGUUGGUGGGGUAGUGGCUUACCAAGGCCUUGACGGGUAGCCGGCCUGAGAGGGCGACCGGCCACAUUGGGACUGAGAUACGGCCCAGACUCCUACGGGAGGCAGCAGUGGGGAAUAUUGCACAAUGGGCGGAAGCCUGAUGCAGCAACGCCGCGUGCGGGAUGACGGCCUUCGGGUUGUAAACCGCUUUCAGCAGGGGCGAAGCUUGUGGUGACGGUACCUGCAGAAGAAGCACGGGCUAACUACGUG